Molecule: long non-coding RNA, 724 nt
Organism: Eublepharis macularius
Lineage: Eukaryota; Metazoa; Chordata; Lepidosauria; Squamata; Eublepharidae
Exons: 3
Source: RefSeq, a predicted model, not a curated record
UAAUGGUGAUUCCUACCACAACCAGUGGCUGCUCAUGUUCUACUCCCUCCUCACCCACCUUUAAAUCUCCAUCCCUCUGACCCACACCGACGCAGCAGACUCCAUGCUACAGCUUAACAGGCAUUUGCUGCUACAGACUAAUUUGGAAUGAGCAGGAUUCUGUCCCUUCCAGAUGAGGUGCAAUUCUUUACACCUUUCCCCAGUGAAACACUCUAUUCAUUUCUUCAAUAAGAUAAGCAGCAGAAAAAGGCUUUGAAAACAGAACAUGCUGGAGCUGGAGAAAACUUGCUAUGGAAGGAAAAGGGAUGCAAUGGGAAUUUCUUCAUUCUGUUGCUUACAAUACAUCUUAGUGUCAUUUUCUCUGGCCCAUCAUAUCCUGUAUUAGGUGGAAACACAUAUUGCUACUUUCUGCAGUCUCCACCAAACCAGUUCACAACAAUCUCCCACCUUAAGAAAUAAGAUAUAAGAAAUAGGAUAUUCUGCAUACAGAAUUAUCAGAUCAACUUAUUAACUAGCAAGAAGUCUACCAAAUAGAAAAUUCACUCUAGAAGUGGGCAAACCCUUGAUGAGAAUACAUAUAUUGUUUUAUAUCAGACUGCUUUUGUUUCAUAGACUGGUAAACAAUAAAUCCUUCUGUUGUUUUGAAUUUCAAAACCCUCAUUUUAUUAGUGAAUGAGCUAUGAGAAAAAGAGGCCAUAAGAGAUUAAUUUUGGGGAAAGGAAGU